UGCAGUCGAGCGGACAGAUGGGAGCUUGCUCCCUGAUGUUAGCGGCGGACGGGUGAGUAACACGUGGGUAACCUGCCUGUAAGACUGGGAUAACUCCGGGAAACCGGGGCUAAUACCGGAUGCUUGUUUGAACCGCAUGGUUCAAACAUAAAAGGUGGCUUCGGCUACCACUUACAGAUGGACCCGCGGCGCAUUAGCUAGUUGGUGAGGUAAUGGCUCACCAAGGCAACGAUGCGUAGCCGACCUGAGAGGGUGAUCGGCCACACUGGGACUGAGACACGGCCCAGACUCCUACGGGAGGCAGCAGUAGGGAAUCUUCCGCAAUGGACGAAAGUCUGACGGAGCAACGCCGCGUGAGUGAUGAAGGUUUUCGGAUCGUAAAGCUCUGUUGUUAGGGAAGAACAAGUACCGUUCGAAUAGGGCGGUACCUUGACGGUACCUAACCAGAAAGCCACGGCUAACUACGUGCCAGCAGCCGCGGUAAUACGUAGGUGGCAAGCGUUGUCCGGAAUUAUUGGGCGUAAAGGGCUCGCAGGCGGUUUCUUAAGUCUGAUGUGAAAGCCCCCGGCUCAACCGGGGAGGGUCAUUGGAAACUGGGGAACUUGAGUGCAGAAGAGGAGAGUGGAAUUCCACGUGUAGCGGUGAAAUGCGUAGAGAUGUGGAGGAACACCAGUGGCGAAGGCGACUCUCUGGUCUGUAACUGACGCUGAGGAGCGAAAGCGUGGGGGAGCGAACAGGAUUAGAUACCC
Molecule: ribosomal RNA, 749 nt
Filed under: Bacillus subtilis
Lineage: Bacteria; Bacillati; Bacillota; Bacilli; Caryophanales; Bacillaceae
Description: bacterial SSU rRNA
Rfam family: Bacterial small subunit ribosomal RNA
Source: RNAcentral